This 336-nucleotide ribosomal RNA is filed under the name Triticum aestivum (bread wheat). RNAcentral's name for it is "partial small subunit ribosomal RNA". The record is from RNAcentral. Lineage: Eukaryota; Viridiplantae; Streptophyta; Magnoliopsida; Poales; Poaceae.
AUGAUAUGGAAAGCUUGGGCUCCCCCAAAGGUCAAGUUCUUUGCUUGGUUGGCUCUACAAGAUAGAGUUUGGCUCUACAAUUCUUUGCUAGUGGUCGCGUCCUACUCGGUUGAGGCUUGGUGGGCAAGUACCUGCGACAAAGACACGCCAAACCGCCAAGCUAAGGCGUCCCUAGCCAUGCUUGUUUCAUGGACUAUUUGGAACGAGCGAAACGCAAGAGUCUUCAAGCACAAGAGCGCACCGCCGACUAUAUUGCUUGCCUCCAUCGAGACCGAGGCCAACCUUUGGGUCAUCGCCGGUGCAAAGAAAUUAUGGUCUAUUAUUUUGCGAGAGUAA